UUGAUCACGUCUAGCUUGAAAGUGUUGUCCUGGACUGAAUGUUCAACAAUGUAGAUCCAGGAAGCCUUCUUUGCAACAUAUCAUCGGUGUGUUUCUGCUCCCUUAUGGACAUUAAUCCUCACCCUCCUCUCUGCUGUCUGUCCUCCGGUGGCCCGCGGAGCCUCUGUGACGCAGGAGAGAGCAGGACUUUCCGGGUUCUGCUGUCAGCACUACCGGGGAUGAGAUGUGUGUGUUCUGAAUUUCAUUCUGAGGCAUCAUCGUUAAAUUAAACUUGCACAAUGAGGAUCUUCGUGUCUCUGCUGAAAAGCACCAACCCUAAAAUCGAGUUUUACUCCAGGUUCUCCCCCUCCCCUCUCUCCAUUAAGCAGUUUCUGGAUUUUGGCCGGGACAAUGCUUGUGAGAAAACAUCGUACAUGUUCCUGCGUAAGGAGCUGCCGGUGCGUCUGGCCAACACCAUGAGGGAGACCAACCUGCUGCCGGACCCCCUGCUGGGCAUGCCCUCCGUCAGACUGGUGCAGAAAUGGUACAUGCAAAGCUUCGUGGAGCUGUUGGAGUAUGAGAACAGAAAGCCGGAGGACCCUCAGGCUCUGAAUGAUUUCCUGGACCUGUUGAUUGAGAUCCGUAACCGGCACAACGACGUGGUUCCCACCAUGGCGGCGGGGGUCAUCGAGUACAAGGAGAAGUUCGGCUUCGACCCGUUCAUCAGCAGCAACAUCCAGUACUUCCUGGACCGAUUCUACACCAACCGCAUCUCCUUCCGCAUGCUCAUCAACCAGCACACUCUUCUGUUCGGUAACGACACAAACCCUGCACACCCCAAACACAUCGGCAGCAUCGACCCCACCUGCAGCGUGGCUGAAGUCGUCACUGAUGCCUACGACACAGCCCGGAUGCUCUGUGAGAAAUAUUACCUAGCUGCUCCCAAGCUGAAGAUUGAAGAGUUCAACAUGAAGGCCCCCGAUAAGCCCAUCCAGGCGGUGUACGUUCCCUCUCAUCUGUUCCACAUGCUGUUCGAGCUCUUCAAGAACUCGAUGAGAGCCACGGUGGAGCUUCACGAGGACAACGUGGAGGGGUUACCUCCAGUGAAGGCCAAGGUCACUCUGGGUAAAGAGGAUCUCUCUGUGAAGAUCAGCGACAGAGGAGGAGGAGUUCCCCUGAGGAAGAUCGACCGUCUGUUUAACUACAUGUACUCCACGGCUCCUACACCCAGCCUGGAGCCAGGCACUGUGCCACUGGCUGGAUUUGGCUACGGUUUGCCGAUUUCCAGGCUCUACGCCCGAUACUUCCAGGGGGAUCUGAAACUGUACUCCAUGGAUGGCGUUGGCACCGACGCCGUUAUCUAUCUGAAGCUCCGGCGAUCCACUAGCACCGGAGCCUCCACCUGCAGAUGCAGCCAUCCUCAUCAACUAUACUGUAGCGUCACCUUGGAUAUGAGUCCAAACAACUCACAGACUGCACCGGGCGCUGAAAUUACCGCCCUUUGAGCAUCAGAUCUGACGACGCUGAUUGGCUGAAAUUAUGUUUUGGCGGCAUAGUUUACAGAUAGCAACAGUCAGCAAUGUGUUGGAUGCUGCUGGGGCUGAGUGAGGGCUCCUUUCUUACCGCCCAGACAAGAGAGGGCUCUCUCCAGCGAGUCCUUCGAGCGUCUUCCCGUCUUCAACAAGUCUGCGCUGCGACACUACAAGACGAGCCCCGAGGCGGACGACUGGAGCAACCCCAGCCGAGAGCCAAGAGACGCCAGCAAGUCCAAUUACAAAGCCAAGCGAUAACUCUGACCCCCUGCUGGGAGCAAGCACGAUGAAGCAUUGCCCUUGGGCUCUGAUCGGACCUGCUUUAACAUUCCUGAUGUUUGGACCAUAUUGUAUGACUUAUUUCUGCACCCAAAGACAAUGAGAUUCAUCUGCGUAGCUUUUAUUGUCGUGGCAUCUUUGUUUUGGCCGCUGCUUUCCUGUGGCUGAAUAAACCCUGCGAUGCUUUCUCACCGUCAGCUGAGGGAAGGUUUUCUGUCUCUGCCGCUCAAACACCAGCAGAGACCAGAGAGGUUUGAGUUUCAGUGCAGAUGGGAAGAAUAGGAGGUUUCAUUUCCUUCCUUUGGGAGACACUUUUGAACCGAGCGCACAAUCAGGCCAGUGUGUCGUUGGCAGAGUAAACACUAGUUUUGUAUUUAAGCCUGAGAACAUAGAGAAACUGUUUUGGGAAAAUUAUAGAAAGCCAUGCAUCAAGAGCACGAUUUAUAUUUAAAGAUCUAGAAGCUUUAUUUCAAAGAGAGAAGUUUUUUUAUGUUUUAAAAAGCUGCCUUGAAGGCUGUGGAGAUUUAAGAUCAUUAACAGUGGGAUAAUAUUUUGUUUCUAUUUUACAUCUUCACUCCUUUAAGUCAACUGUACGCCCACCUAAGCUAGGGCUGCAACCAAUACAUAUUUUAGGUAUCGAUUAAUUAAUUAUUCUCUAGAUAAUUGUUUGGAAUGUAAAGCAGCAAAGAUUAGUACAAAAUGUCCUCUAGUACUCUAAAGUCAAAGCUGAUGUCUUUACAUGUUUAGUCAGUCCAAAACACAAAAACCUACUUGAAUAUGAUAAGGCAAGGCAAGGCAAGGCAAGGCAAGGCAAGUUUAUUUAUAUAGCACCUUUCAACACAAGGCAAUUCAAAGUGCUGAUCAAAUCUGAUCAAAAUAGUUUCUGAUUAUUUGUAUUCUAACCCCUGUAAUUCACACAUACUAUUGAUCGACAAUACUGAGGGACAUUUCUGCUUGCAAGCCAGCUCUCAUACCUUCUACUUUUGGUAUUAUGUUAUGAAUGAGUUAUGAACACAGUUUGUGUAUUUUUAUCACCCUUUAAGUUCAUUUUAAGCGAGGAACACAGGGUUUGAUUUGUAUCGUUGAAAUUGAAACAGCAUUAACUGUUCAAAUGGUAUCUUACUGUAAUGUUUGUUUAUUUAAACAAAAGGAAAUCAAGUCUUUAGAAAGAGAGUUGGGGUAAAUAUCAAAACUUAAUUCUGAAUAAUCCGAUUUUCUUCUUCUGAAUGUUAAAUGUAAGACUAAAUUAUCUUUGUACUAAAUGAUAGCGCUAAACACGUGAUUUUUCACAUGAAUCACAUUAAGGGAACUUAUUUGUGCGCUUUCUGACCCAACAUGUAUUCUUCCUUCAAAUAACUUCACACAAUCACAUCAUACCUACUUUUUUGGACACACAGAAGAUUAAUUAUGAUCUGCAGAGAUCCAAGGUCACCACUUGUAUCUGAACACCUUCAUAGUAGCAAUAUCCUUUUUGGUAAACUACUGAAAAAUCAAGCAUGGCUCGCACCGCGUGUUAAGAAUUGAAAUGAUCUGAAGUGACUUCCUUCUCUCGUCUCCUUCAACUCCCUCUGAUCCCAAAAGAAAGGAGAGUAGCUGAAGAGUUCAUCACUGCCGAUGCCUUCAAACCUGCCAGUCUCCCUGAGGGACAAACCUGCAGUAACGAGUGUCGGUCGGACGCUCAGAGAAACUGUCCUUUUUUUAUUUAAAAUGCCUCCGCUCACCACCUGUAAUCACAUUUAACAGCUACGUUUGAAUUGUGUGAUUUUAAGAGGCGUCUUGAGUAGUCGUGGACCUUUACUGUUAAAGACUACUUUGUGUAUUUUAGUAAAUAUUGUGUAUCCAAUGAUGUGUUUGCAGUACAGUGUGGAGUGAUCUCUGUGUUCUAUCUUCCUGUACCUCCAGCUUUGUGCAUGAACCCCUUGCUGUGUAGGCGGUCAUGAAAAAAUAUGCAAAAUGGUGAUGGAGCAGUCUGAUAUCAGCAUGAGACAAUAAAUAACAUUUUGCUGUUGUGUGCCAUUUUCCUGCAUCGUUUGUUUGGAUAAAAAGGCGAAAUGCACUUUCAA
Gymnodraco acuticeps is the source of this 3853-nucleotide RNA transcript. It is a transcript of the gene named pyruvate dehydrogenase kinase, isozyme 3a, with no coding region annotated. The record is from RefSeq and is a predicted model, not a curated record. The transcript is spliced from 12 exons. Lineage: Eukaryota; Metazoa; Chordata; Actinopteri; Perciformes; Bathydraconidae.